CCCGGCUCAGAAUCAACGCUGGCGGCGCGCCUAACACAUGCAAGUCGAACGAGAAAGUGGAGCAAUCCAUGAGUACAGUGGCGUACGGGUGAGUAACACGUGGGUGAUCUACCUCUUAGUGAGGAAUAACCCUGGGAAACCGGGGCUAAUACCGCAUAAGCCUGAGAAGGGAAAGCAGCAAUGCGCUGAGAGAGGAGCCCGCGGCCGAUUAGCUAGUUGGUGAGGUAAGAGCCCACCAAGGCAGAGAUCGGUAGCCGGCCUGAGAGGGCACACGGCCACACUGGCACUGAAACACGGGCCAGACUCCUACGGGAGGCAGCAGUGGGGAAUCUUGCACAAUGGGGGAAACCCUGAUGCAGCGACGCCGCGUGAGCGAUGAAGCCCUUCGGGGUGUAAAGCUCUUUCGUCAGGGAAGAUUAUGACGGUACCUGGAGAAGCAGCUGCGGCUAACUACGUGCCAGCAGCCGCGGUAAUACGUAGGCAGCAAGCGUUGUUCGGAGUUACUGGGCGUAAAGGGUGUGUAGGCGGUUCUUUAAGUUUGGUGUGAAAUCUCCCGGCUCAACCGGGAGGGUGCGCCGAAUACUGAGGGACUAGAGUGUGGGAGAGGAAAGUGGAAUUCCUGGUGUAGCGGUGAAAUGCGUAGAUAUCAGGAGGAACACCGGUGGUGUAGACGGCUUUCUGGACCAUAACUGACGCUGAGACACGAAAGCGUGGGUAGCAAACAGGAUUAGAUACCCUGGUAGUCCACGCCCUAAACGAUGCAUAUUUGGUGUGGGUCAUUCAGUUGAUCCGUGCCGGAGCUAACGCGUUAAAUAUGCCGCCUGGGGAGUACAGUCGCAAGGCUGAAACUCAAAGGAAUUGACGGGGGCCCGCACA
RNAcentral lists this ribosomal RNA (876 nucleotides) under uncultured bacterium. Its description in RNAcentral is "bacterial SSU rRNA". It matches the Rfam family "Bacterial small subunit ribosomal RNA", at positions 18 to 927 of the family's 1533-position model. The record is from RNAcentral.